Molecule: long non-coding RNA, 394 nt
Organism: Astatotilapia calliptera (eastern happy)
Lineage: Eukaryota; Metazoa; Chordata; Actinopteri; Cichliformes; Cichlidae
Source: Ensembl
CCUGACUGACAUGACCUGUGAUCCAGUGAUUGACAGGAGAGGAAAGACAGUCCAACUUUGUUAACUCUUCGUUACGAUAUGCUCGAGAGGACAAAAUAUUUUGCACCUCGUUAUUGUUGGACCUCUGUGUGGAAACUGCAAACGGGACGUCAUAAGUGUGGUGCAUUGCUGUCCUCCUGCCCUUGCUGGCUGCGCUGAGUGUGAUGUAGCCUCAGUGUUUGUGUUUUAAAGGCUUUUUCCACCAAGAUGUCUGUUGAGAGAGAGAUGACCUUACCCAUCACACCAAGGGUAAUAGCGCUUGGGAAUAAUUUCAUGUCUGCAAGCCGCUGGAUGAUCAGUUUGGAGGGCAAGGUAUUUUAUGAGCCUGAGCAGAUGCAUGACUUUGCCAGCACCC